AGCUGCAAGGAAUCAGGCUUGCCUUGAGCUCCUAACAAUCUAUGGGAGUCACUUGCCAUGCACAGACGACAACAAAGAGCUUGUAUUUAAAGAAUAAAGUGGUGGCUUCUAGUGAGUGGUAUGAUUCCUGGUGUGUUCCUGGCUCUUGCAGUCCUGGCCUUGGAGUUGUGCCCCCUCGUGACUGCUGCUCAUGGGCUCAUCUUCCUGAAAGCAGGAAGGUGGGCCUACUCUGGUGACAGAGACAAGUAAGGCAUAACGUAUCUUGAUUUCAGCAAAGCAUUCGAUUCAGGAGCAGAGGAGGCAUCUCUGACUGAAAGUGAAGGGGCAUAAGAGAACACUAAGCAACAAGAGCAGAAGCUGCCAGAUACCCCAAUUACAGCUAAGCCAGAUAAGAGAGGAGGGAGCAUGGUUCACAAAUAUUUCCAUGUCUACCCCGAAAGCACCCUGAAUUUAUGCUAUGUUGGGGGAAAUGUGUCAGCAUUUGCUCAAGCAACCUGGUGAUGCUCCCCAUCUUCUUGUUCUGCAUUGGCAGGCAAGAAAAUGCAAGGGAGAGCAUAAAGCCAGGAAGAACUGCUGCAAACUGGUAAUCUUUCUUCCUUUCUGGCUGAGGGCCAAGAAAGCCCUUGCAUUGCCAUCAGUCUGAAUAGUGGGGAGAAAAAGUUUUGUUAGAGGAGCGAUAGACGACGCUACUGUACCAUUUACAACAGUAGGUGACAUUUGGGGGGAGCACUGUGCCUUGUAGAGGUUCAUCAGGCAGAAAUUUAUCAUGUGCAUCACUAGCAAAUGAUUAAGGAAGCUGCAUCAGAAUGCAGACAAGCUGUGAAGACUGAUGGCAAAGAACAUGCUUGCUGUCAUUAAAGGAGUCACGAGGAUAUUUUCAGAAGAUUUUACUUAAGGGGAUAUUUAAUUUUUACCUCUGUAAUACAAACACCACCAGGCUUUAGGGAGCUUGAACAACUUCACUUAUAUUGUAAUAUGUAAUGUAAAUGUAACAAAUAAAU
Molecule: long non-coding RNA, 1001 nt
Organism: Hemicordylus capensis (graceful crag lizard)
Lineage: Eukaryota; Metazoa; Chordata; Lepidosauria; Squamata; Cordylidae
Exons: 3
Source: RefSeq, a predicted model, not a curated record